GGAAGUUCAACUAACUCCAAAGUAUAGUUUCUUUGGGUGCUCCUUAAAAGGAUAAUGGAUCACAAUAUGAAAAGAGAGCAAAGUGAGCAAGUGGGUCACUAGAUUAAUGAAUUCUUCUAACUUCAUAAUCACUCAUCCAUGCAUGUAUUCUUCUAUUGUGUGCUGGUAUGAUCUCUCUGGUGGUUGUUGGAGGUUAUGGAGCCGCACCUUGUGCAUCUUGUGUGGUAAAUAUUUGUUGCUUUUCUGAUUUAUUUUCAUCAUCAAAAUCUGUAAGAAUAUGUUGUUUUGCUGUAUCUUCAUUCCAUUGGUAAAAUCUUUCUUCAUCAAAAACGAGAUAUGGAAUUAUAAUGAUUUUAUUAGUGCUAAGAUUAUAAUACUGAUAAGUCUUUGAAUAAUCACUAACACCCAGAAAAACAGUUUUUCUCCUUUGCUGUCCAGUUUCUUUCUCCAAUGCUCAGAAACAAGUGCAUAUGCAAUACAUCAAAAAAUUCUGAAGUGAUUGACAUAUGGUUUUCUUUCAGUCCAUGCUUCUUUUGGUGUCAUAUUUUGAUCUGCUAAGGUUGAGCUCCUAUUCAGAAUGCUCCAACUAACUACUUCAUGAUUUUUUUUUGUGGAACCUUACUUUGUUGUGUUGGGUACCGUUGCUCGGUUAACAAACAAAUUUUACAAAUUUUCUCAUUGUUUAAUCGAUUAACCACAUAUAUAACCGAUUAACUUGUUCUGCAUAUAAUCGAUUAACUAAAGAACCUAAUUGAUUAUUCAAUUCUUGUUCUUUGAAAACAGUUUUCUUUGAUCUUAAAGAUUACCAAGAUUCAACUAAACAUAUAUGCACUCUUACAGAUGAUUAAGCACAGUAAAUGCAUAGAACAUAAUAUGCAACUAACUCAGAAUAACAUGCAUGUCAAGUUAAGUAAAUCAAGUAAUAUGGAAAUGUAAAGAGUUAAGGAUUGAGAAGAAUGAGACACAACUUUUAUCCUGGUUCAUUUGCUUGUCCACGUGCAAACUACAUCCAGGCCUCCCCUUCUGAUCUUGGGAGAUUUUUAUUCACUAUGAAAUUGACACCAAUGUAUUUACAAACACACUUUCCAAUUGUACACUUCUACAACUGCACCUUUCUUGAACUCUAAGCCAAGCAAUGCGACUUAACCUCUCUCGCCUUUUUCGGAUACCUCACCUACUCGCGAUUUGUCCUAGUCCAUUCUUGCUUCUCUCAAGACCCUUGUAUAAUGCGGUGAAGAUAACUACCGAACGACAGAUAGGAUGUUCCCAAACCAAUCCUCUACCAAUGGUGAUAUUAAACACACUAAAAGAAUAUGUUUAUGCUAAUGUCUAAACUAAAACAAGUUGUUGCACCUGUGUGCGCUGAAUAUACACUCUUCCAGAUUCUAGGAACCCUUCUACAAGUCUCACAAACUCAGAAUAUAGAAAUAUGAGAUGCAAGGUUUCUUUGCAAGAUUUGACAAUUAUGCUUCUUUGAAAAUCUUUCUGAAGAUUCAUAAUGAUUCUCCCUUUUCUCUCUUUUUCAAAAAACACUUUGAAAAUCUCUCUUUGGAUAUGAAAGUGUAAGAAAAAUGUUAUUUUCGAAAAAAUGUGUAAUCAAUGUGUUUUUCGUUAUUGUGUGUUGUUUUUAGCAAAAAAGAAAAACUUGGGUUAAUAUACAAUUCUGUUUUCUGGUGCAGGUAAUCGAUUAACACUUCAUUUAAUCGAUUACUGAUUCUUUAAAAUUCAAGAAACCAGAAAUUGUAACUAACAUUAAUCAAUUAAACCCAUACUUAAUCGAUUAACGGGUUCCCAAUUUUUCACUGCUUAAUCGAUUAAAAUAACACUUAACCGAUUAGCGAGUUUUUGAAAAAGAUAAUUCGAUGUGAUAUGAACCUCCUACAUGAUUUGUAAAAGUAUGAUGCAUGAUUUUAAAUGAUAUAUAAUUUAAAACUCUUUUUAAAAUAUACAAUUCUGUUUUCUGGUGCAUGUAAUUGAUUAACACUUCAAUUAAUCGAUUACCGAUUCUUUAAAAUUCAAGAAACCAUAAAUUGUAACUAACAUUAAUCAAUUAAACCCAUACUUAAUCAAUUAAUGGGUUCCCAAUUUUUCACUACUUAAUCGAUUAAAAUAACACUUAACUGAUUAACGGGUUUUUGAAAAAGAUAAUUAGAUGUGAUAUGAAUCUCCUACAUGAUUUGUAAAAGUAUGAUGCAUGAUUUUGAAUGAUGUAUGAUUUAAAACUCUUUUUAAAUGCAUCGAAAUCAUGUGAUCAUUUAUUAUGCAUGUGCAUGUAAAUCAUGUACGUACAUGCAAGUCUAAUUUUAGUUAAGAUUGAUUUUAGCUUGUGAGACUUCCAUUAGGAUUGAUCCUAGCCUAGACUUUUUCUAAGAAAACAUCUUAAGACCUAAUAAAGAUAUAAAAAUACUUCGCCUCUAGAUCUUGUUGAAUACUUUAGCUUGUGUGAACUUGAGUCUUGACUUUUGACUUUGUUGUUGAUUUUAUUGUUUGUUGAUUUGUUCAUGUCUUCAAGCAUGUCCUUGAUAUACAACAUUUGUCUUCAUCAAUCUUUGUUUUCAAUCUUUGUCUUUAUCAAAAUUUGUCUUCAUCAACCUUUGUCUUCAUCAAAAUUUAUGUGAUGCAUGCUUGCACAAACAAUUGGCUCUUUCAUGCAUGCUUGCAUAUACAAUCUGCUCAUUCAUGCAUGCUUUCACAUACAAUAUGCUUGUUCAUGCAUGCUCGCAUUUAUAAUCUCCCCCUUUUUGAUGAUGACAAACAAUUGGACCUGCUUGAUGAUAAUCAACUCUGUUUCAAAAUUUUCCUUGUUGUAAGUUGAUGCACAUUUCUCCCUCUUGCUCCCCCUCACUCUUAGUAUAGAGUACUGGAUGUAACCUUCGAUGGACAAGAAGACGAAACAAUAUAAAAGCUCUUUGUGUACUCUUCUUAUACUUAUUCUUCUCAUUUACUUUUGCUUUAUUUGGUUGAAUUCUACAUAAAUAAUCCGCUCCACGUAAAAUUUGAUAACAUAGUAAAAACAUCAGCCAUGUUCUCCUAACAACUAAUUCACCCCCUCUUAGUUGGCAUCUUAAACUUACAAUUGGCACCC
Molecule: long non-coding RNA, 3085 nt
Filed under: Lupinus angustifolius (narrow-leaved blue lupine)
Lineage: Eukaryota; Viridiplantae; Streptophyta; Magnoliopsida; Fabales; Fabaceae
Description: long non-coding RNA (LANG_LNC000045)
Source: RNAcentral